CCGGGUAGAACCGUCUGGAGCGAAGCCACAGCCUCCCAAACACUCCUGUGAUCAGCACCAAGACGACCAGCAGCCCCCCGAGGACAAAGGUCUCCACAUGAGGGACUCCGCCUGCAUCUACAUAAAAAAGGAAGCAGGUUUACCUGUCACGGAUGAAGGUGUACUGAAUAUUGCUGUACGGAUCGCUGGUUGGCGUCGCCCAGCAUCUCUCCAUACGCAGCAUCAGACUCGACUCCCGGCGUCUUACUUGGUUUGGCCGAUCCGGUGAACUCUGCCGAUGGCCUGGAGCUCGUGAGCGGGGUUGAGGAUCGGCUCCACCAGCAACACUUCUCAAACAGCUCCAUGAAGGUGUUGCCCUCCUCCACCAGCUCCGGAUCCAUGCGUUUAACUUUGGAAAAAGACAGGAUGGCUUUCAGAGAGCGCUCCGUCUCACUGGCUGCCCACAGACCUCGGCUGGUGGUGGGGAGACGGUCGUCCAUCAGCCCCUCCUCGUCUUCAAUCAUCUCUUCGAAGAUGGCCGUCUGACCCUUCACCCUGUCGGGCUGGACGUCAGCUCGUUCUUGAUGCGGGACACCAGGUCGUCGUCGUAGGAGCUGCGGAUCGCCCUCUGGAUAACUUCCAACCACCAAGGAGUGUUCAGCUUGACCUUCAGAAAGAAAGUUAAUCACAUGAAGAAAAGACAUUUUUGGUUCUGUCUUAAUUACAACAUUACUCCAAAUUCAGAUCAAUCUGAUUUCAGUGUGUCCAAAUAUAAAUAUAAACCUUGCUGUAGACUCAAACUUUUAACAAAAGUCUUUCCAGCAAUUAAAUCUCAUUCAGUAAAUUAGAAACUAAACUCACGGUAGAGCUAAUGCAUCUAAAGUCUUGCAGGUACGGUAGGGAAGAAAAAAUACCCAACCUAAACAAUAUAAAACAUCAUCAUAAAACAGCAUUUGCUCCCGUUAGGACAAGGAAACUAUUUUACUAAUUACUAUGGUGUGAAACAAACCUGACUUAGUACAUUUUCAGGGGACACAAACGGAUUUUCUUAAGUUUCCCUGAACCCCACUAAGUCAGGUUUAAAUGUAGGUUUAUGGCUGAUCCCACACACAACAUAGUAGUAUACAUAGUAGCGUACAUUCAUUUGUCAGAUUAUCUGUUAUAAUAUGAGGCACGGUUUGCCUCAGUGUAGAGAUAAAGGAGUUCUCACUUUGCGUUUCAGCUCCUUGAGGUUCUGUAGCACCGGCUGCAGAGCCUGAUGGGCGUCCGCUACCUCCGAGUCGUAUUUGGUCAUGUAGUGCUGUCGCAGCUGCUCUGCCUGCAGAGACACGGAGAGGAAUAGAAACAAAAUGAUUAUUAAAAACCAAAAUAAUGCGGAUACGAAAACUAUAAAUGUGAAAUAAAUGUGUUCUGCCUGAGUGAAAUAUUUAUGAAUUACCUCCUCACUUAGUCGGUGAUCUCUCAGCGUGGGAGGUAUCCCAGGAUGCUUUGCGCUCAGCAGUUCCAUCACAUUGUGGGUAGCAUGAAGUCUCUGAUUUACCACAAAAAAGACACAAAUCAUCAGACAUUUUAAUAUAAACUCACAGUUUAUAAACUAUCCACAGUGGUUAGAAAUAAAAAUCUAAUGUGCAUCAUGAAUGUCUGUAGAAUCAAAACCUUAAAGACUCUUGUCUCUUGUGAGAAAUGAACCCCUUCAUAUGUAAAUCACAGACGUGAUGAAUGGGAUGUGAACGUAUACCUGUAAUGAAUCUGUUUUCAGGCGGCCUUUGUGCUCCUCUGAUGAACGAAGCACUUCUCUAUACAUCUCUGUCGCCUCUACAAACUCAUCUGCAGGUUGCAAAGGAGACGGUGAUUAUUAGCGACACUCAACAUGUCCCGUCACAUGUGGAGCUUAUGAGACGCGCUACUCCAGCCACAUUAUGCACAUGCUGCAACAAAACGUCUCGACACACAAAGAUGAGAUCAUGGCUUGUGUUGUGUUUGAACUGAUUCCCAUGGGAAACUGGGAGCAGUGGGAGCACAAGUACAGAGGUUGGGUUCUAUACCUCUGAUGAUGUGGAUUCCAGCCAGGCCGUUGAGUGCACACACCAAUUGUCUGUGAGCUUCUUCACACUCCACUCGACAUUUCUUCUGCAGGGACUUCAGGAGCUCCUCCAUCGUCAUGGUGCUGGGAAGGAGGGGACACAAACACACUCAAUAAACCCUCCAACGCAAAUGGAUCAACUUUAAAUAAACACAAAUACACAUUGUAUAGCUGACAAAAAGGUUGCUGCGGUCUAUUACCGUUACUAAUGCUGUGAUUUAGUCUAGCUAGAUUGGUAAUUAACCGUUGCAGCUGCCUUCAGAUAAAGAGCUCUCCUUUCGCCUUGAACACAUAAUGCAAAGUGUCAUCUACCUUUUCUGCAGAGGCAGGAACUCCCCCCUCACGGCCUGCGGAUGGCAGCAGGCCUGACGCAGCCUCAGCAGCGGACACAGGAUGGUGUGGACGGUGCGGCGGUCCAAGCUGCCAAGUUUCAGGCUCCAGUCGGAGAUCUUCCUGAGUUUGACCAGAGCGUCCUGGGAGCAGACCUCGUGCUGACGGUGGUAAAAGUGACCCUCGACGGGGGAGAAGUCUAGCCAGUGAACCUCCUCCGUCUGAGGGGGAAUCUGGAUCUGGAAACACAACACGGAGCAGCCUCUCUGGACAGGAGUGCCACUGACACACCAGCGGUUGACAGAUGCGAGACGUAGAGCCAUCUCUGCAGCCUGAUGUGGGACAUUCAACCAUCUGAGCCUCGUCCAGACAGAUGCGCCACCACUCCACAGCCACCAAAGGACUGGGUAUGGCCAUGUAGCGCUUCUGGUUGCGAAAGCGGCGUCCGUCCUUGCUGUUGCUGUGGGGAAUGUCGACGUAGUUGAGCUCCGACCGCAGCACGUCGUACGUGGUGAUGACCACAUCCUGCUCGGCGAGCAUGUGUGGCUGGAUGAACCCGUGCUUCUUCACACCCUGAUAAACCUGAGCACUCGCAGCGAGGAGGACCUGAUGUGCCGGUUGAUCUCCUCCACCCACUGGUGGCAUAUGGAGCUCGGGGAGAUGAUGAGGGUGGCGCCGGUGGAGACGGGCUUCAUGGCGACCAGGCAGUGAGGGCAGUAGAAAGGUG
Sebastes umbrosus (honeycomb rockfish) is the source of this 3119-nucleotide long non-coding RNA. RefSeq lists it as uncharacterized. The transcript has 8 exons. Lineage: Eukaryota; Metazoa; Chordata; Actinopteri; Perciformes; Sebastidae. The record is from RefSeq and is a predicted model, not a curated record.